This 235-nucleotide ribosomal RNA is filed under the name uncultured Actinomycetales bacterium. Its description in RNAcentral is "partial 16S ribosomal RNA". It matches the Rfam family "Bacterial small subunit ribosomal RNA", at positions 97 to 334 of the family's 1533-position model. Lineage: Bacteria; Bacillati; Actinomycetota; Actinomycetes; Actinomycetales. The record is from RNAcentral.
GGCGAACGGGUGAGUAACACGUGGGUAAUCUGCCCUGCACUCUGGGAUAAGCCUGGGAAACUGGGUCUAAUACUGGAUAUGACCUUUCUCCUUAUGGGGUUUGGUGGAAAGGUUUUCGGUGUAGGAUGAGCCCGCGGCCUAUCAGCUUGUUGGUGGGGUGAUGGCCUACCAAGGCGACGACGGGUAGCCGGCCUGAGAGGGUGAUCGGCCACAUUGGGACUGAGAUACGGCCCAG